RNAcentral lists this ribosomal RNA (460 nucleotides) under uncultured bacterium. RNAcentral describes it as "partial 16S ribosomal RNA". It matches the Rfam family "Bacterial small subunit ribosomal RNA", at positions 338 to 795 of the family's 1533-position model. The record is from RNAcentral.
CCUACGGGAGGCAGCAGUGAGGAAUAUUGGUCAAUGGACGAGAGUCUGAACCAGCCAAGUAGCGUGAAGGAUGACUGCACUAUGGGUUGUAAACUUCUUUUAUAUGGGAAUAAAAUGUUCCACGUGUGGGAUUUUGUAUGUACCAUAUGAAUAAGGAUCGGCUAACUCCGUGCCAGCAGCCGCGGUAAUACGGAGGAUCCGAGCGUUAUCCGGAUUUAUUGGGUUUAAAGGGUGCGCAGGCGGAAGCGGCAAGUCAGCGGUAAAAUUGCGGGGCUCAACCUCGCCGAGCCGUUGAAACUGCUCUUCUAGAGUGGGCGAGAAGUAUGCGGAAUGCGUGGUGUAGCGGUGAAAUGCAUAGAUAUCACGCAGAACUCCGAUUGCGAAGGCAGCAUACCGGCGCCCAACUGACGCUCAUGCACGAAAGCGUGGGUAUCGAACAGGAUUAGAUACACCAGUAGUC